Phalaenopsis equestris is the source of this 2842-nucleotide RNA transcript. It is a transcript of the gene named pentatricopeptide repeat-containing protein At3g20730, with no coding region annotated. The transcript is spliced from 4 exons. The record is from RefSeq and is a predicted model, not a curated record. NCBI's taxonomy places the organism in Eukaryota, Viridiplantae, Streptophyta, Magnoliopsida, Asparagales, Orchidaceae.
CUUUUUAAAAGUGCUGCGGUACCAUUUGGAUCUCCGCUUAUGCAAUAAAUUGUACCCGCCUUCGUAAGCUGACUGCUGCUCCAGCUCGAGUGUUCGAUUGUCCAGAAUUCUUCUUAUGCUCUUUCCCCGCGCUGCUAAAGCUCUUUCUUUAGUUCGCUCAAAAAGGAGACAUCUUUAGUCCGUCAAUGACGUCAAAUUCCCUCUCUUUAAAUCCUUCUGAACUCAUUCCGCGCUGCUGAGUUUGUUCGUUGCAUCAUGUUUCCAUGAACUUGGUCGGGAGAAGAUCAAUUGGCUCUUGGCCCAAUUUGAGACAUGAAACCGAAUCCAAAGUCCUCGCUCUGUGCAACCUCGGCCAGCUCAGAGAAGCGCUUGAAACCUUACACUCGUACCGGAACCCACUGGCUUCUUCCAUUUACUCGAAUCUUUUGCAGGUUUGUGUCGACACCAACGCCAAAAAAGAAGGAAAAUUCCUCUAUGACCAUCUUUUUGCUCGUGGAUAUCUUCCAAACCUUCACCUGAACACCAAAUUUAUCAUCUUUUUCGCUAAUGCUGGAGAAUUGGUUUUGGCUCGAAACGUAUUUGAUGGAAUGCCAGAACCAGAUGUGGUCUCUUGGACUGCAUUAAUCUCGGGAUACUCGCAAAAUGGGUUCUUGUAUGAGGCCCUUGACAUAUUUGUUUUGAUGCAUAGGUGGUGUAACAAGGCCAACCAGUUUACUUAUUCAAGUGUUAUCAGGGCAUGCACUGCUACCCGUUGCAUUAGAAGCGGAUUGCAGAUUCAAGGUUGCGUUGAGAAGAGCAGAUUUAGGCAGAAUUUGUAUGUGAAUGGUGCUCUUGUGGAUUUUCACUUGAAAUGUGGAAUGCUUGAGGAUGCUUGGAGUUUGUUUUGGGGAAUGGAGGAUAGAGAUGUUGUGCUGUGGAAUUCCAUGAUUGGGGGGCAUUUAGUUCGUGGUUUGGCCGAUGAUUCGUUCAAAUUGUUUAUCUCAAUGUUGGAAGAAGGUAAGUUUCCAGACCAUUUCACAUUUGCAAGCAUCCUGAAGGCAUGUGGUUUAAGAAAGGAUUUCUUAAAUGCUGAUAAGAUGCAUUCCUUGGUUAUCAAAUCAGGGUGUUCAAGUCAUUAUGCCGUCUCUGGAUCACUUAUUGAUGCGUAUGUCAAAUGCAAGAGAAUGUGUAGUGCCAGGUUGCUUUAUGACUCUUUGCCUGAGCAGGACCUUUUUUCCUGCACUGCCUUGAUCACUGGAUAUUCAACAGAUGGAAGUUUUAGCAGGGAUGCACUGAAGCUUUACUGCAAAUUCAACCAAACAGGCAUGAAAAUUGAUGAUGUUAUCCUAUGCUCCAUGCUUAAUGUUAGUGCCAAUGAAGCUUCGCUGGACCUCGGAAGGCAGAUUCAUGCUUGUACAGUGAAAAAUCAAUCUAACCAUGAUUUGGCUUUGCACAAUGCCCUUGUUGAUAUGUAUGCCAAAUCUGGAGAGCUCCAAGAUGCCCAUCUUGCUUUUGAUGAGAUAAAAAAUAAAAAUGUGAUUUCAUGGACUUCUUUGAUUACUGGUUAUGGUAAACAUGGCCAGGGUGAAGAUGCAGUGAUGCUCUUUAAUAAGAUGGAGGAUAAUGGGGUGAAACCAAAUGAUGUUACAUUUCUUUCCCUUAUCUCUGCAUGUAGUCAUACUGGUCUCGCAAGAAAAGGAAUGAAUUUUUUUGAUUUGAUGGUCAACAAAUAUGCCAUCCAACCUAGAUCCGAACAUUACUCUUGUGUUGUUGAUCUUCUUGGACGUGAAGGUCUUAUUAAUGAAGCUUAUAAUUUUGUAAAGACAAUGAAUUUUAAACCCAACAUAUCAAUUUGGAGUGCUAUGCUUGGGGCUUGUAGGAUACAUGACAAUAAGUCUAUUGGAGAAGUUGCUGCUGGUAAUCUUCUAGCCUUUUAUCCUCAGAAAUCAGUAAACUAUGUUGUCCUUGCUAAUAUAUAUGCAGCAGCUAGUUUGUGGGAGAAUGCAUGGAAGACAAGGAACUUAAUGGAACAAAAAUCGAUUCAAAAAGACAGAGGAUGCAGCUCUAUUUACCUUGUUGGGAAUGCGCUGUUGUAAAACUUCACCCUUGAGGGUAUGAUUCAAAAAAACCAUGGAUUCAAUGUUUCCCUUCUUGUUGCCUGGUCUCAAAAUGUUACAGUGUAGAUUCUCUUUUCUCUACAUGCAACAAUUGGUUGAAGAAAUAACUAUUGGUGCUAGUUUAUUCAAAAUUGCAUGGAGGACAAUAAAGUUAAUGGACAGAAAAUCAAGAGAGAUCCAAGACGUGCCUCUAUCUACCUUCCGGAGCAUGUGCUCUUGUAAAUCUCACCUCGAGGGUCAAUGCUUCAGUGUUCGUUCCCACGCAACAGAAUGUUAGACGGCGAAUUCUCUCCUCUCUACAUCCAAAAAUGUGUUGAAGAGAUGAUUGUUCUUGUUCUCUGACAUCCAUUGACAUCCUUGCUGUUACCGACUUCAUCAUCGACACCUCAAUGAUAUACAAUGCGUUAAUUGGUUUUACACUCUUCGACACUUCGAAGCAGCAAUGUCAACCUAUCAUUUAGCCAUGAUGUUGUCUGCAUGAGGACACAAUCACUAUUUGCGAGAGUUUACAACAAUUAUGGGCAUAUUAUCUGAAGACAAAUGGUGCUGGUCUCAAAAUCCUUAAGGCAAUCAAGGAAGUUGCUUUCUUUGAAGAAUAUGAAACCUGCACUGUAUGAAUCAACACAUUCUCUAAUAUUGAGCAUUAGGGUGAACCAACCAAUAUUCUGGGUACUAAUUCUGAUGUGUUUGCUUGGUCUUCUAUUGGAGAUGUUGAUGAUAACCAACCUAUAUGUGUAUGUUUUGAA